CGGAAUAGCCUCUGGAAACGGAGAGUAUACCGAUACGCCCGUUUUGGGGGAAAGAUUUAUCGGAGAAGGAUCGGCCCGCGUUAGAUUAGGUAUUGGUGGGGUAACGGCUACCAAGCCUACGAUCUAUAGCUGGUUUUAGAGGAUGAUCAGCAACACUGGGACUGAGACACGGCCCAGACUCCGUACGGGAGGCAGCAGGUGGGGAAUCUUAGACAAGUGGGGGCAACCCUGAUCUAGCCAUGCCGCGUGAGUGAUGAAGGCCUUAGGGUCGUAAAGCUCUUUCGCCUGUGAUGAUAAUGACAGUAGCAGGUAAAGAAACCCCGGCUAACUCCGUG
This 335-nucleotide ribosomal RNA is filed under the name uncultured bacterium. RNAcentral describes it as "bacterial SSU rRNA". It matches the Rfam family "Bacterial small subunit ribosomal RNA", at positions 139 to 507 of the family's 1533-position model. The record is from RNAcentral.